Molecule: ribosomal RNA, 623 nt
Filed under: [Streptosporangium] indianense
Lineage: Bacteria; Bacillati; Actinomycetota; Actinomycetes; Kitasatosporales; Streptomycetaceae
Description: bacterial SSU rRNA
Rfam family: Bacterial small subunit ribosomal RNA
Source: RNAcentral
GUCGAACGAUGAAGCCCUUCGGGGUGGAUUAGUGGCGAACGGGUGAGUAACACGUGGGCAAUCUGCCCUGCACUCUGGGACAAGCCCUGGAAACGGGGUCUAAUACCGGAUACUGACCACUGAGGGCAUCCUCGGUGGUCGAAAGCUCCGGCGGUGCAGGAUGAGCCCGCGGCCUAUCAGCUUGUUGGUGAGGUAGUGGCUCACCAAGGCGACGACGGGUAGCCGGCCUGAGAGGGCGACCGGCCACACUGGGACUGAGACACGGCCCAGACUCCUACGGGAGGCAGCAGUGGGGAAUAUUGCACAAUGGGCGAAAGCCUGAUGCAGCGACGCCGCGUGAGGGAUGACGGCCUUCGGGUUGUAAACCUCUUUCAGCAGGGAAGAAGCGAAAGUGACGGUACCUGCAGAAGAAGCGCCGGCUAACUACGUGCCAGCAGCCGCGGUAAUACGUAGGGCGCGAGCGUUGUCCGGAAUUAUUGGGCGUAAAGAGCUCGUAGGCGGCUUGUCGCGUCGGUUGUGAAAGCCCGGGGCUUAACCCCGGGUCUGCAGUCGAUACGGGCAGGCUAGAGUUCGGUAGGGGAGAUCGGAAUUCCUGGUGUAGCGGUGAAAUGCGCAGAUAUCAG